CGGCGAGUGAAGCGGCAACAGCUCAAAUUUGAAAUCUGGCUCUUUCAGAGUCCGAGUUGUAAUUUGUAGAGGAUGUUUCGGGUGAGACUACGGUUUAAAUUCCUUGGAACAGGAUAUCAUAGAGGGUGAGAGUCCCGUCUUGAACCGUCUGUCGAGUCCAUGUGAAACUCCUUCGACGAGUCGGGUUGUUUGGGAAUGCAGCUCAAAAUGGGUGGUAAAUUUCAUCUAAAGCUAAAUAUUGGCCAGAGACCGAUAGCGCACAAGUAGAGUGAUCGAAAGAUGAAAAGCACUUUGAAAAGAGAGUUAAACAGCAUGUGAAAUUGUUGAAAGGGAAGCGCUUGCAACCAGACUUGUGGGCAGUGAUUCAGCCGUUCUUCUGAUCGGUGUACUUUGCUGUUUCCAGGCCAGCAUCGGUUUGGGUGGUCAGUUAAAGGCUCCGGGAAUGUAUCUACCCUUCGGGGUAGACUUAUAGCCCGGGGUGACAUCUGGCCUACCUAGACCGAGGUACGCGCUUCGGCACGGAUGCUGGCAUAAUGGUUGUAAGCGGCCCGUCUUGAAACACGGACCAAGGAGUCUAACAUCUAUGCGAGUGUUAGGGUGUCAAACCCUUACGCGUAAUGAAAGUGAACGGAGGUAGGAACCUUUUAGGUGCACUAUCGACCGAUCCGGAUGUCUUCGGAUGGAUUUGAGUAAGAGCAUAGCUGUUGGGACCCGAAAGAUGGUGAACUAUGCCUGAAUAGGGUGAAGCCAGAGGAAACUCUGGUGGAGGCUCGCAGCGGUUCUGACGUGCAAAUCGAUCGUCAAAUUUGGGUAUAGGGGCGAAAGACUAAUCGAACCAUCCCUACAGGUCAUAACUUCUCUGCAUUUACCAGGUGGUUCGCACCAGGAGAUUCAUCCUGGCCCAGAUCUAGUUUUAUCAAAUUGUAUAACUAGAACGACGUUUCUCAACUGGCGGGAAUUCUUCAGGGAUAUCCGCAGCGAGUAUUAUUUGAAUAAUACCGUUCACAGACUAAAUGGAAACGGUCAAAUAUAGGCGCUAUAUUUGAUGAUUAGAUAGUCGGAACUUGAUAAUAUCGGACAAUCCGAUCAAGGUCAAGAAUUUUGCUGGUAGCUGGUUCCUGCCGAAGUUUCCCUCAGGAUAGCAGUAACGUUUUCAGUUUUAUGAGGUAAAGCGAAUGAUUAGAGGCCUUGGGGUUGAAACAACCUUAACCUAUUCUCAAACUUUAAAUAUGUAAGAAGUCCUUGUUACUUAGUUGAACGUGGACAUUUGAAUGUAUCGUUACUAGUGGGCCAUUUUUGGUAAGCAGAACUGGCGAUGCGGGAUGAACCGAACGUGAGGUUAAGGUGCCGGAAUACACGCUCAUCAGAUACCACAAAUGGGCGGUAUUCCAGAGACAAUUUAUCUAAAUUCUUGUGGUAUCGACCCCAGAGCUCUGGGAAUAGCCUUAUUCUAAAGGCUAGGUCGUUGAUCGAAGGGGAACACUUUCAACGGUGUGUCCUUAACCGUGAUAUUCUCCACGGUUCACAGAUCAAGCAGCGACCGGUAGUGGCCGUUGCUCACUAUUCAUAAUAUGAUCGGCCUUAAAAUGCGAAAAUUUUAAUGAUUCGUGCAAAAGGUGUUAGUUCAUCUAGACAGCCGGACGGUGGCCAUGGAAGUCGGAAUCCGCUUAGGAGUGUGUAACAACACACCGGCCGAAUGAACUAGCCCUGAAAAUGGAUGGCGCUCAAGCGUGUUACCCAUACCUCGCCGUUAUAGUUUUAAGGAUGCUAUAACGAGUAGGCAGGCGNNGAGGUUUGUGACG
Molecule: ribosomal RNA, 1802 nt
Filed under: Granulopyrenis seawardii
Lineage: Eukaryota; Fungi; Ascomycota; Eurotiomycetes; Pyrenulales
Description: eukaryotic LSU rRNA
Rfam family: Eukaryotic large subunit ribosomal RNA
Source: RNAcentral